GUUCUUCUCCGAGCCGGGCAGCCGGCGGUCCUCAGCCGCCCACAGAACAGGAGCCGAAACAACCGUUCUCGAAGGCUACAGCGUUUAUUUUUCUCUUUUGGGGGGUUUUGGCGGUUGUUUCAGGGGCUCGCCAACUGGCCCCUUUAAUUAAAAGCUUCAAUAAAAGGCGAUCGCGCCAGGAAUGCACCCGCUCCUCUUCGCGCAGGAUUUGCAUAUUUUUUUAAUGCCCUAAUUUCCUUGAUGUAUGUAAAUGUAGCCGGACGUAGAGGGAGACAGGGAGCUGACGUCAAUGGACGUGACCUCGCAGCUAAACCUUGAACGUGAAGCCGGGAUGGGGGAAAACACGGAGCGGCAGCCGGCGGAGCCCGAGAGCGCGGGCGGCGGCGGCAGUAGCCGAGCCCAGGCCGGGGUGCCAAGGGACCAGUGCCGGCCCCGGGGGAGGACAAGCCGCCGCCUUCUUUCUGCACCGCGCGGCUCUCAGACUCGCCAGCCUUCCGGCCGCACACGCAGACUCUUGCCCUGAGCUUCCAGCCCCACCACACACACGUUCUUUUGCUUCCCUCAGAAAAGCAACACUCCCCAAAACAACAAACCAAAAUCAACAGAUAAAACAGAUGUUUUAGACCAAUGCUCGGGUAGCUUAUCAGAAAGAAGACUCUGACCACGGAACAUAUAUAUUUUUUGGCUUCUCUCCACAAGAAGAGGAGCGAGAGACCACAGACAACAGCAAAUCACUCCUAAAACACGAUAACUACAAGUGCUCCCUGUAGGGAGAGGUAAAUCGCCCAGCCGACUGGUGAAGUCUUCUGGUUUCGGUACCUAUUUACCUGUGCACUCAUUAUGCGCCUCGGCUUCAUUAACGGCAGGAUCAUGAGCGCGCGUUUUAAUGUGAUGGGAGUGCUGUGUUGUGUGUGUGUGUGUAUGUAUGUAUGUGUGUUGGGAGGUGCUUGCGCUAGUGAGCACCGAGGCAGGCGCUCUGAGCAGAGAGAGAUCAGUCUUUCCAUGGCCACGUCUGGGACUCAUCUGCGGAGCCAUCUAGGCCAGGGCUCCUAGAUUGGGGUUCGACUUCACCCCAUGUAAAAAGAGAGGCCAGCAAAGGCUUCCCCUGAACAGCCAGGUCCUUCCCAUCGGAUUGUUUGAGGAAGGAGGCUUGAAGUGUGAGCCAUUCUGUAGCCGCCGCCUUGCCGGAUUUGGCCUGGUGUUUUGCACUUGAAACUCAGCGGCCUCAGCGCGGAGGUAGUGCCUCUCCGAGACGCGGCCGAGGCCUUGUCAUUCCCCUCCUUCCGCCCGCGGCAGCCCUGCGCGCCGGCGUGUGCGUGCCCGCGCACCGGACCGCUGGCACCUCCCUGUGCACAUCCGCCCCCUCCUCUGCUCGCCCCCUCCUCUGGGGCAGCUAAGAAAUGGUCCUCGGCCUCUUCUGGGCCGGAGGGCAGAUCUACGAGCAGGCAAGAAAGGGGCGCCGGUGGCUGUGGUGGCGACUUCUCCGCUCUGCCCUCGGCCGCCAAGUGUGCCGUUUCAUCGUUCCACCUCGCAGCCCCAGCUUUGUUUUCCUGACAUGUUCGUGGCCAUUGGGCCCCACGCCUGCGAGGGGAGUGUGUGCGUGUGCGCGGGGGUCGGGCGCGCGCGGCGGGUGGGGGCUCUCCCGCCAAGGACACGCAUGGCUGUCUGUCCUCCGGCUGCACUUGGCGGGAAAGCUAGGGGCCGCCGGCGGGGCUGAGCGCCAGCGGCUGUCAUUACCGCCUCCCUGCUCCCCGCGGGCUGCAUUUACAUACGGGCCACUCGUCUGAAUUUUUACGGCACUCUUCCCCCUCCCGUACCCGGUCGCACGCGCGCAGGCUCGGAACUACCACCCCGGCACGCAGACACCCGCGCCCAGAAUGCGGCCAGCCCCAGGCGCGCAAACAGGCCCACAGGGGCCGACGGCACUCGGCGGGACGGAUUCCUGCACCGCCUCCCCGCACCCCCGUGCCCACACCCCUGACAGCCUCUCCGCUUGUGUUGCAGGAAGCCCACCUUCCCCUCGAAGCCCCCACCCUUCUCUGUCUGCAUACUUCCACCCCCACCCUCCCACAUCUCUCCGUCUCUCUUUCCGUGGAAGGCAGACGCGCGCGCGCGCGCGCACACACACACACACACACACACACACACACACCCGCUUUUUCUUCCUCCUCAAAUAGAUGACCCCUAUGGCGCGUCCCUGGUACAUUUAGAAUACCUCUAGAGUUUAGAGAAUAAAAUUCUUUAGAAUGCAUUGCUUGUCUUUAGCUAAACACAUUUAACAACCACGACACAAACGGGGAGGAGUGAAGAAGGGGGACUUGAACCAAAAGACCUUUAAAAAAAAAAAAGUCUGCGAGUCAAAAGGUCAUUCUCCAAGUUUGUAAAUAAAAUUGCAAAGGGAGUCCUUAAGAAAGGAGAGGAAAGAAGGGGAAGAAGGUUAGGAAGACUCACAAGUUACAUAAAACAGUGCAUUGGAAAAACGACAGGGAGAUUCUGUAAUAAAAAAAAAAGAAGAAUCUUAAGAAACCAAGAGAGAGAAAAAAAAACUGGAGGAAAAAAGAAAAAGAGAAGAAAAGGAUUUUAAAAAAAAGAAAAAAGCAAAAGAAGUUUCCAAAGAAAUGUGUGCUUUGCAUCCUACAAUAGGAAAAUGUAGCCAUUGCCUUCCUUCAGACGAGACAUUUCUAAUUUGUUCCGUCUGUCAGGAGGGGACUAUGAGAGGUUUGGGUGCAAAUUCAUUAUCUCUGGCAACGCAGAACGUAGUGUGGGGACUGAAAAAGACCGUGGCAAUGGAUGAACAAUAGGGCUUCAGUUCAUCAGUAACAAAAGCAGUGGGGAAAUUGGUUGAGUUUCAGAGCACGUCCUCCUCGGCAGAGGGGGCUGGACUAGACCUUGGACAGCCCCCCCAAAAACUUGCCAAGCCUCGCACACACCACUUCACUCUCCACUCCGAGGCUCAGGGAGCAAGUGCCUGGCAUGGGGGACGCCGAAAGAAGCCUGUUUGUGUGCUGCGGCCGUGCUGUGACUUUGGAUCUUGUCUUUCAGCCGGCGCCUCGGUUCCUGCCCAGCUGGAUUUGGGGGGCAGCAUUGCCUGGCGCAGGGAGAUCAAAUGAGACUGCAAAGAAGCAUAAAAUGAAUAGACAAUCCAACCAACCAAAGACCGGGGGCAGCAGCAGGCCAGCAAGACGGCAUCUUCUCCUUCCCAGCCUAGAAGCCCUGUGAAAUCGAGGAUCUUCCCCCUAAAACACAUACACACAAGAUAUGUGCAAUCAAGCUGCCACCGCUUGGUAAAAAGCCAUGGUGCCUAACCAAAAAGGAUCAGGAACAGAUCCUUGAAUCAGCUGUCACUUCUAUAGAAUGGGAUUUUUUUUUCCUUCCUCCUUAACCUGCGCUGGAAAUUGCCGUUGGCUUUAUACAUCUCUAUAGAGAGAGGCUAAAGAGUCUUGCGUGAGAAAGAAGCAAUUUACAAUGCAAAUAGAGGCCUGUGAAGGGACGGAUGCUGCUGCUCACUCGUAACAGCUUGCUGCACCUUAAUAGCUGGUUUUAUUUUCUGAUAUUAAUAGAUGAAUUGUUGGCUAACGCUGCCGGAGAUUACUUGCUGAAAGGAAAAAGAAAAGUUCGGAAUAAACUCUGAAGGCAACAGAUCUCGUUUGGAUGUUUUAGCCGCGCACACACACAAACAGAAACCAGGUCAUAUUUACAUAAAAGGAGGAAUCUUAAGCGCGGCAAGUAUCCUGGACGACCACUCUUCGGUACUGCCAGAAAGGAUCAGGACCUGGAGUCUGGCAAGAGGAAGACAGAGGCCUGUGUGGGAAGCGAGUUGUUAUCUUUGGUUAUCUAGCUGUAUGAGUGUAUUGGUCUUCAUAAAGCUAGAUAACCGAAAGUAAAAACUCCUUCAAGAUCGCCGGGGAGCGUGUGAGAAUGAAAGACUACAGCCGAGAGACAGUAAAAACCAGAAAGGUCAGGAAUACUUAUUGAAUCUAACUUUGUUUUUGUUUUGUUUUUUUCCUUAUGAUUAAAGGUGGGAUGAGAGAAAAUUAAAUGACACACACAUGCUAAAAUAUCAAGGUUCCAGAUAUGUCUUGAGAGGGGUUGUUGCAGCUGCAAAGGAGAAGUGUAUAGUGAUAAUGAGUAAAGAUGCAUGUGCAGUUUGUUCUAUUUUAAGGCAAAAGUUAUAUCAGGGAUUUUUUUCUUAGAAAGGUGUUGCAGAGAUGUCUGGUACCUAGUUUAAAAAUGAUUCCAUAAUAUGUAGACUUGGGCAGUUCCUUUGGGAGGCACCUCCCUCUCAAAAUUUGAAGAUUGUGCUUGGAAAUUACUUUACAUGUAUUUGGGCUGUAUGUCAAUUUGUACGAAAUUAGACUUUCAGAAAAGUUUAUACUGGAAGGUUAAUAAUUUGUAUCUACUGAGGACUUAGAGCUAGCAGGCAAAAUGAAAAAAAAAAAAAAAAAAGCAAGGGCUGAUUUUUAUUCUUCUAUUCAAAAUACAAGGACAGAUGCUUCUCUGUUCCAAGAGGGUUUCCUUGAGGAAGCUACUGAAGCAGAAAGACAUGAUGGAGACGAGAUCGCCUCCCCUCUUGUCAAAGUGUUAAAAAAAUGUUCUGUCUUACUCUGCGCCUAGCAUUGGAAAUGAAAGUGACAUUUACGCCACAACCCACGUGUGCGCCUCCUCUCUUUUUGUUUAAGGAUGAUCAGGUCUAUCCAGGAAACAGCUCUGGCAUCCCAAACUGAAAUAAUUAGGACGUAUAUAGACCUGACAAAAAUGGAAAGGGGGUGGGGAAUCUGAGGGUCUGUCUUGCCUAAUUGAUUCCGCUAAACGGAAUGCAGGAGAUGUGAACGGCAGGACGCUCCGAUUCCCACGCUCGGGGGCAAGUGAUAAAGCGGGGCCGGGCAGCCUAUGACAGACAGCCCUGUUGGGGGGUGGGGGUAUGAAAAAAACAUCAAGUGCACACACCAUACUCAUCUCCAUCGCUUAAGAAAGUAAAGGCAUUUCCCACCCACAGCCAUCUGCAGCUUCCCAAAUGGCAGCACCAACUGGUCUGUAGCUGCUACAUAGUCUGCUUCUGUUAAUUUUUUAACCACUGUUUAAUCUGGCCAUAAUUAAGUUUGGCUUUCUUCGUUGUUUGAGAUUUUCAGAAUUCAAGGCAAGCUAGUAGAAAGCAAUUCCAAGAAAGUCCCAUGACUGCCUGCCCCUAAUGUCAAAAUCUCAGUCCAUGAGAUUAUGGCCUUGUGACCACAUUUUUGCUUUUGUUUUGGGUGGGCAAAUGUGUAUAGAGAUAAAAUACAUAUCUCUAUAUAACAGUCGUUAUUAUAAUUUCAUGAGGCUUUUUACCUCUUAACAUGAUACAUCUAGGAACUUGGUCUAAUUGUGCUAGUAGAUAUACACUAGAAGUAAAACUAUAAAGUCAUUAGCCUGUAGAAAGUUGAUUAUGAUAACAAUAUGAUAAAAAGUUUGUUUUGGAAUAGUCUCAGCUAGAUGGGUCUAAAUAGCCAUUUUAAUGUAAUCUAAAAAUAACACUAUGCCUAGCAGAAACUUUGGCGCUUUGGAGGUCCCCAUUGUCGCCUUUUCAUAAAAGUCCUUAAGUUUUCCAUAUGUCACCAAGCAAACAUUUGUAUAGGCAUUUACACAGAAAUAUAACCAUUGCAAUUAGAAAAUAUCCAAAAUAGCCUGUUAUCUUCCACGUGGCCUAGAUUAUUGACAAUCCCAAAUAUACAAUUUUUCUUUAAAAGUAGUACAAUUUCCUUUGUAGCUUCAAUUCCUUAUAUGACUUCAGACUGGAGAAGCCUGUUAAACCACUGUUAGUUUCAGUUAGAAAGUCUGAGAGACUUUAUACAUAAAUUCUCAAUUUGGCUGCUGUACACGUGCCAGAGUUUUACUACUGUAGUGACCGUUGAGAAGACCCUUGUUUAUUUACAUUUGAAGCACUGUUUGUGCAAACAACCUUUCAUUGUUAAGUGCCUGUAUUCCUUUCAUUUACUUCAUGUCCAGGGGUGCUAUUUACCUAGAACCAUUGUCUACUACAAUUAACAUUUACAUUACAAAGUGUGUGGUUUUCUUUUUCAAGGAGGUUCAAUUAAGGCAAUAAGAUGUUUGCUGGAGAAACCUAUUGUUUACUGAAAGCACUCAAUGAAGUCAAAUUACUGAAGCUUUUGCCUACAUCUUGGUCUUUUAUGUAAAUAUGUUAAAUAUAACAUCUAAGGAAAAUAAACAAUAUUAUAAUUAUGUGUUUGCCAUUGUCAUAUCAAACUUGCUUUGUAUCAUACUAAUGUUACAUAACUUAUCGAUCAAUAAAAAUACAUUUCAAUGUUAUUAUUUUCAUUUUAUUUUUUGCUGUUCCACUGCCCUUGGUGCAACAUGUCCCAAUUUUUCUUUUUUCUAUUACACAUCAAACUUCUGAC
Molecule: long non-coding RNA, 6392 nt
Filed under: Homo sapiens (human)
Lineage: Eukaryota; Metazoa; Chordata; Mammalia; Primates; Hominidae
Description: non-protein coding LINC00461:40
Rfam family: mir-9/mir-79 microRNA precursor family (bases 3815-3890)
Source: RNAcentral